Molecule: long non-coding RNA, 1227 nt
Filed under: Homo sapiens (human)
Lineage: Eukaryota; Metazoa; Chordata; Mammalia; Primates; Hominidae
Description: non-protein coding lnc-NECTIN1-4:3
Source: RNAcentral
CUGGGCCACAUCAGCGUUUCCCAGGGCUUGUUUCACCGCUCUCUAGUCUCUAACUACACGCUGCAACAACAGCUCUCAGUGGUCAGGACCGGGGGACAUGCCAUACCCCCUGCACUCGACCUCUCUGAUCCUCAGGAUGCUGCUUCUCCUACUGCAGAGUUUAUUUAACUCCCAGCGUUGGCUGGCUCUAGGGUCCUGUGGCCAUGGGGCACCUGCCAGCAUCCUGCAGAUCCAAUCCUGCAGGCGCCCCUUUGGGAAAGGCAGGACCAGACGACCCUAAGUCCCCCCAAGGCUGAUCCUCUUUUCCUGCACUCUGUCCCCCGCCUGCCUGUGGUGCUCCCAGCACUCUGACAAGGCAGAGUGAUUGACGCCUCCUGUCCCCUGGGGUUGGGGGCAUCCUGAGGGGGCAGGCUUGAACCAGACUCUGGCUAUGGGCCCCAGACCCUCAUGUAUCUCCUGAAAGAUCCCAGGGACAGCUCUAAUGGCUGUGGUGGGAGUAACCCUGUCUCUCUUCUGGCACCCCAAACAUCUGGCCUGGAAGUCAAGAUCAGCACAUUGGGUGGGCUCAGGAGAGGGAAAGGGGCUAUGCAGGGCAGAGAGACCCCUGAACAGUGGUCUCUGAGGCCUCAUCACUCAGUUGUCCCUUCCGGCCCAGGGUCCUAUACUAUACCCAGGACAGGGAUUCUUGGAGCUGCCGGCAAGAGGGAGGAGACAGGACUAUGGGUGGAGGGUCCCAGCCUGCAGGAGCCCCGGGCAUGUCUUAGCUCUGAUCCGGGCCUGGGGAGCUCCAGGACUUGCCUUGGCCUGUUUGGCUUCUAGCAGGCGCCUUUCUGCUCUCUGCUCAAGCCUGGCCCACAGAGCACCUGGCAGGGGAGGUGGCCGCUCUCAGGUGUGAUUCAGAGCAGCCCCCAGAAUGAGGUGUGGGUCCUUUUGGCCCCUCUGGGACCAGCGCUGUGCCACUAAUGCCUCUCUCUCUCCCAGCAGGCACUGGGAAAACCCCUUAUCAGUUCACCACCUUGGGACAGGCCACUGCAGAGUUUUCCAAACCACUGGGUCGCAGUGGGCUGUCUAAAAAUAAUCCCGGCUAUCCCUCCCUCAUGCGGAGCCAAAGCCCCAAGGCCCAGCCCCAGACUUGGAAAUCUGGCAAGCAGACUAUGCUGUCUCACUACCGGCCAUUCUACGUCAACAAAGGCAACGGGAUUGGGUCCAACGAAGCCCCAUGAGCUC